Long non-coding RNA from Stegostoma tigrinum, 588 nucleotides. RefSeq lists it as uncharacterized. The transcript is spliced from 3 exons. Lineage: Eukaryota; Metazoa; Chordata; Chondrichthyes; Orectolobiformes; Stegostomatidae. The record is from RefSeq and is a predicted model, not a curated record.
GCCCUGGUCCUUUAGCAGCGGACACCCUUGGAGGCUGCCCUUUUCCCCAGCACUGCCUGCAGUCAUCAAAUAGCAUGGAGCCCACUGAAUGAGUGUGCAAUUCACAGUCACGAUUGGCAACCAGGCACAGAAUUCCAAGAGAGCUAUUGUGCUACACACUCAACUGAAAAUUCUCAUCCUGAGGUUUGAGUCCAUCCAUGGCCUGGCACUUAAUCUCCUCCAGUUCCACAACGCUUCAAGAAUUCUCUAAUUCUGGUGCAUCCCACCACCAACCACCAACUCUUCUGCUCCUUGAACAGACGAGUCCGGCCCCUUGAGUCAUACAAUGAGGCGAGGAGCAGAGUCUUUGUAAAGCAGCAAGCCUUUGAAAAGGCCGUACCCAGCUCUCAAAGAAUUACCCUUUUACUUCAUUCCAGCCCAUCUGCACUGGCACUUUGAAUUGGAUCACAUCAGAAUCAAGAAAGAAUCAGGUGGAAAAUUAAACUGGAUGACCACGUUCCCUUCCACUUCCCAGCAUUCUCUCUUGUGUGCCGCAUUCACUUGUUUGGCCAAACUUCUAAGUUUAAACCAAAACCACUGCGGAUGCUG